CUAGUGAUUCAAAUAGUUCUUCCAGGUGAUGCUCAGCCUGUGGGUCAAUUGGGUCUCCUAUUUCUGUGUCCGCUCUGCCAAAAUGACCUCCGUGGGUUUGGGGGUGGUUGAGCUCGGGUGACCUGGGUGGCCUGAAGGCAAGAUGUCUUUGCACCUGCAGCUUGUCCUGCUAUCAUGGAUCCUCAAGUUGCUGCUCACCUCUGUGGUGGAAGCUGAUGGCUAACUGGACUUCUGCUCUUCAGCUCAGCCAGAACUUGACCACUGGCUCCCUCUCUCCUUAGCUUUGGGACUCUUUGAGCCAACCCUCUUCCCCCAAGUGGCUGCCACACCCUCCACCAGCCUCUGGCCUGGGCAGUCUAUCUUCCACCACAGGUUCUGCAAAGGGUCAUGCUGCCCUCACCACCACAGGCCCUGAUAUGGUUUGAAUCUGUGUCCCACCCAAAUCUCAUGUAAAAUUGUAAUCCCCAAUGUUGAAGGUGGGGCCUGGUAGGAGGUGAUUGGAUCACAAGCCUGGAUUUCCCUCUUGGUGCUGUUCUCAUGAUAGUGAGUGAGUUCUCGUGAGAUCUGGUUGUUUAAAACUGUGUAGCACCUCCUCUUUCUCUCCUGCUCCAGCCAUGUAAGACAUGCCUGCUUUCCCUUCACCUUCUACCAUCACUGUAAGCUUCCUGAGGCCUCCCCAGAAGCCGAGCAGAUGCCAGCCUCAUGCUUCCUCUAUAACCUGCAGAACUGUGAGCCAAUUAAACCCCUUUUCUUUAUAUAUUACUCAGUCUCAGGUAUUUC
RNAcentral lists this long non-coding RNA (780 nucleotides) under Homo sapiens (human). RNAcentral's name for it is "HSALNT0267968". The record is from RNAcentral. Lineage: Eukaryota; Metazoa; Chordata; Mammalia; Primates; Hominidae.